Molecule: ribosomal RNA, 1398 nt
Filed under: uncultured bacterium
Lineage: Bacteria
Description: bacterial SSU rRNA
Rfam family: Bacterial small subunit ribosomal RNA
Source: RNAcentral
GAUGAACGCUGGCGGCGUGCCCAAUACAUGCAAGUCGAACGCUUUGUGGUUCAACUGAUUUGAAGAGCUUGCUCAGAUAUGACGAUGGACAUUGCAAAGAGUGGCGAACGGGUGAGUAACACGUGGGAAACCUACCUCUUAGCAGGGGAUAACAUUUGGAAACAGAUGCUAAUACCGUAUAACAAUGACAACCGCAUGGUUGUUAUUUAAAAGAUGGUUCUGCUAUCACUAAGAGAUGGUCCCGCGGUGCAUUAGCUAGUUGGUAAGGUAAUGGCUUACCAAGGCGAUGAUGCAUAGCCGAGUUGAGAGACUGAUCGGCCACAAUGGGACUGAGACACGGCCCAUACUCCUACGGGAGGCAGCAGUAGGGAAUCUUCCACAAUGGGCGAAAGCCUGAUGGAGCAACGCCGCGUGUGUGAUGAAGGGUUUCGGCUCGUAAAACACUGUUGCAAGAGAAGAAUGACAUUGAGAGUAACUGUUCAAUGUGUGACGGUAUCUUACCAGAAAGGAACGGCUAAAUACGUGCCAGCAGCCGCGGUAAUACGUAUGUUCCAAGCGUUAUCCGGAUUUAUUGGGCGUAAAGCGAGCGCAGACGGUUAUUUAAGUCUGAAGUGAAAGCCCUCAGCUCAACUGAGGAAUUGCUUUGGAAACUGGAUGACUUGAGUGCAGUAGAGGAAAGUGGAACUCCAUGUGUAGCGGUGAAAUGCGUAGAUAUAUGGAAGAACACCAAUGGCGAAGGCGGCUUUCUGGACUGUAACUGACGUUGAGGCUCGAAAGUGUGGGUAGCAAACAGGAUUAGAUACCCUGGUAGUCCACACCGUAAACGAUGAGUGCUAGGUGUUUGAGGGUUUCCGCCCUUAAGUGCCGCAGCUAACGCAUUAAGCACUCCGCCUGGGGAGUACGACCGCAAGGUUGAAACUCAAAGGAAUUGACGGGGACCCGCACAAGCGGUGGAGCAUGUGGUUUAAUUCGAAGCAACGCGAAGAACCUUACCAGAUCUUGACAUCCCUUGACAACUCCAGAGAUGGAGCGUUCCCUUCGGGGACAAGGUGACAGGUGGUGCAUGGUUGUCGUCAGCUCGUGUCGUGAGAUGUUGGGUUAAGUCCCGCAACGAGCGCAACCCUUAUUACUAGUUGCCAGCAUUCAGUUGGGCACUCUAGUGAGACUGCCGGUGACAAACCGGAGGAAGGUGGGGAUGACGUCAAAUCAUCAUGCCCCUUAUGACCUGGGCUACACACGUGCUACAAUGGCGUAUACAACGAGUUGCCAACCCGCGAGGGUGAGCUAAUCUCUUAAAGUACGUCUCAGUUCGGAUUGUAGGCUGCAACUCGCCUACAUGAAGUCGGAAUCGCUAGUAAUCGCGGAUCAGCACGCCGCGGUGAAUACGUUCCCGGGUCU